CCCUUAGAUGUCCUGGGCCGCACGCGCGCUACACUGAGUGUCUGAGAUACGAGUCUGCCUGGUCCGGCAAGGUCUAGGUAAUCGCUAAAAGACACAUCAUGCUUGGGAUAGAUUAUUGCAAAUAUUAAUCUUGAACGAGGAAUUCCUAGUAAGCGCAAGUCAACAGCUUGCGUUGAUUACGUCCCUGCCCUUUGUACACACCGCCCGUCGCUACUACUGAUUGGAUGUUUAAGCGGGGUUCUCGAACUGCUAGCGACUUAGCUUCGGUGAGGUCACAGUGUGGGAAGUGAACCUAGCUUUGGUGUCUAGAGGAAGUAAAAGUCGUAACA
RNAcentral lists this ribosomal RNA (329 nucleotides) under uncultured eukaryote. RNAcentral's name for it is "partial 18S ribosomal RNA". It matches the Rfam family "Eukaryotic small subunit ribosomal RNA", at positions 1470 to 1796 of the family's 1831-position model. The record is from RNAcentral.